UGAGGAAUAUUGGUCAAUGGGCGCGAGCCUGAACCAGCCAAGUAGCGUGAAGGAUGAAGGUCCUAUGGAUUGUAAACUUCUUUUAUAGCAGAAUAAAGUGACCCACGUGUGGGUUUUUGUAUGUAUGCUAUGAAUAAGGAUCGGCUAACUACGUGCCAGCAGCCGCGGUAAUACGUAGGGGGCAAGCGUUGUCCGGAUUUACUGGGUGUAAAGGGUGCUCAGGCGGAUUUGUAAGUCAGAGGUGAAAUCUUACAGCUUAACUGUGAAACUGCCUUUGAUACUGCAAGCCUAGAGUAUGGAAGAGAGCGAUGGAAUAUCUGGUGUAGCAGUGAAAUGCGUAGAUAUCAGAUAGAACACCAAUGGCGAAGGCAGUCACUUGGUCCAUUACUGACGCUAAAGCACGAAAGCGUGGGUAGCAAACA
This 422-nucleotide ribosomal RNA is filed under the name uncultured bacterium. Its description in RNAcentral is "bacterial SSU rRNA". It matches the Rfam family "Bacterial small subunit ribosomal RNA", at positions 355 to 774 of the family's 1533-position model. The record is from RNAcentral.